AUACGUAGGAUCCAAGCGUUGUCCGGAAUUACUGGGUGUAAAGGGUGCGUAGGCGGGCUUGUGCGUCAGGGGUUAAAUCCCACGGCUUAACCGUGGAGCUGCCCUUGAUACGGCAAGUCUUGAGUAUGAGAGAGGAUGAUAGAAUUCCUGGUGUAGCGGUGAAAUGCGUAGAUAUCAGGAAGAAUACCAGUGGCGAAGGCGGUCAUCUGGCUCAUUACUGACGCUCAGGCACGAAAGCGUGGGGAGCGAACAGAAUUAGAAACCCCGGUAGUCC
Molecule: ribosomal RNA, 274 nt
Filed under: uncultured bacterium
Lineage: Bacteria
Description: partial 16S ribosomal RNA
Rfam family: Bacterial small subunit ribosomal RNA
Source: RNAcentral